Ictalurus punctatus (channel catfish) is the source of this 5159-nucleotide long non-coding RNA. RefSeq lists it as uncharacterized. The record is from RefSeq and is a predicted model, not a curated record. The transcript has 3 exons. Lineage: Eukaryota; Metazoa; Chordata; Actinopteri; Siluriformes; Ictaluridae.
AGACGCGUAUUAUUACGUCAGAUCUCCUUAAAGGGGAACGCAACGCGAUCAGUAAGUGAGAGUGCACCGCAGCUCGUCCCAAAUUUCGCACAGGUUGAGGAAAAGCCAAAAGAGUUGCAAAGAGAGAAAACUGGCAUCGGCUUAGCGCUGACAAAUUGUGCAAAGACAACACGUUGUGAAUAUUUCUGACGAUGAGAUUCCUGAAACAACCGCUCAAGACCUUUUGAAUCUGAGCUUCACACAAGUUGAGGGCAUCGUGACUAUCAGUGCUUAUGACGGAGAUAUUUCCAGUGAGUUGAGUUGACGUUCAACACAACCUCGAAUUACAGGAGCUCUGCACAGCAUGGCGUGAAUUCUUCCAAGUAAAGAUGGCUUUAUUGGAAAACUUUGGACAGAUUGAUAAUACAAUUGAAUCUGGUCAAGGUACGUUUUUUUUUUUCCUUUACUGUACAACACACUUGAAAACGUGAAUAGAUGCCUUACAGUGAAAAUAAAGUUGAUUAGAAAAUUGUAUGAUCGAUAUGGCUCAGAAACGCCCAAAAAGCAGUUCGAAUACAGAGACUAAAAAAAUGAGAACCGAAAAUUCUCCAUUACCCAAUGAUUUCUAUUACGAUGGAAACCAGAAUUCUUCAAAUGGCCCGUUACAUCAUGAUCUGUACCCAACCCUGAACCCAUGUUUAACUGAAGCGAUCAACCGGCUGAAUGAAAGUUUAAUUCCAUCACACCUUGUUGUUAGUGAAAGACCUAAUCAGAGUCCAAAUUACGACUUAUCAAACACACCGGUGAUGCCAUACAAUAUAUUUUCUGAAUUAAAUCAAUGUCUGCUAGAGUUACAAAAUAACCUAAAUGAACACGGUCAUUCAGAACUAUUAAACCCUGAUCUAAUCGAUGCAGUCAAUCAGUUGAAUGAAAAUUUAAGACCGUCAGACCAGAGCAAUACAGAAAAUGAAAACACCAGCCGAAAUUCCAGUCAAACUGUAUCAAGUACGCCAGUGACGUCACAUGACAUAUUUUUCUAAUUAAAUCAAUGUCUGUUAGAGUUACAAUAUAACCUAAACAAACAAAGACAAUCUAUGCAGAUAAAUCCUUGUUGAAUAGAUUUUAAAGCAUCAUGAAACACUAAACUACUUUUUCUGAGAUUUUAACAGAGGUGUUCGUAUCGCACAUCAUAAAAGACAACCUUAGCAUCUGUUAAUUUAUUUUUAGGAGAAAGCUGGUUAAAUUUGAGCCUAUUAGCUAACUAGCAUUCCAACAUUUCUCUCAUCCGCGCUGCCUCUGGCUCAAAGAAAACAAUAAUAAAAUAUAUUAUAAAAACUGUACAUACAAUAUAUAAUAUAAGAUUAAAACUCCGUGGGCCAUUGCAUGUAAAAUUAUGCAACAAGAGUCCGUGUUGAAGGGAAUAACCUUCGCCUUUUUAUUCAUAAAAAGCUCGAGCCUAUUAGCUAUCUACUAUUCCAACAUUUCUUUCAUCCGCGCUGCCUCCGAUUUUGUUAUGUUUUCCUCCAUAGUCACGCCAGGAGCUAAUGAUUCAAAUAGACAGGGCGUAGGACUUGCAGUGCUAUCUACUGUGUCUCCAUUUAGCCCUGGGGAUUCAGGAGGAGAAAAGUCAUCUGCCUCAUCUGCAACCUUUGUCAGUAUCCAUCUUUUUUUUGCAUGUUGUGAAGGCUCGCCUCCUUCUUCCUCUCCUGCCUUUCCCUGCCACACCCCUGCCCCUCCCUUCUUCGCACAGCCAUCCACGUCCAUUUAAACUGCAUUUUUCAAAAACAUUGAGAGGUAGACUUGAGCUGAAAGAGGGAGGUUUCAUGACCCUUUAAUGAGAGUGUGCACUUGAGCUGGCAUGGACUAAAGAAGUUUGUGCAAAACUUUAUGGUCCAUUUUAAAUCAAAUCCAUCGGACUGUCAUCUGAACUCAUGCUUCAAUAGAAGAGAUUAGGCAUGAGGAAAAUCUCACCUUUUGUACAAAGCAGUUAACAUAUCAAUAGCACACAUUUUCUUACAUUUAAAUUGGAACCUACUGAUCACGCAGAAUCUUGAAUAUUAAAUAUUCAAGAUGUUGAACAUUUACUUUUGUUUGUUUAAAUAUUUCACAUUUCAAAAACCUUCUGUUUAUUUACAAUUUAAAAUCUGACUUUUGGACCCUACUGUACAUAUUUUACAAAUUCUAAAAUCAUACAGCAUGUUUGUUCAAUACCUAACCUGUAAUUACCUGUAAUUCAUAAAUAAUAAUGUGUGGCCAGGAGGGCAGUUUGCUCUUCACUGUAUUUUCACAUAAUACUAUAAUACAUGGGUACAAGUGAACACUUAAAAAGUUAAUAUCAUAGGUUAUUUCAAGAAAUGGGAUUUUGAUAGUUUAUUGUCUGUGCUAAAAAAUAGUCACCUACUCUAAUAACCACUCACAUAGGAUUCCAGUCACCAUUCCCAAAAGAUUCCAGUUAACUACAUAGUAAGAGUUAAUUGCUGUAUUAAAUUUUCAGUCAAUUAAAUUUUAUUUGUAUAGCACUUUUAACAAUGGACAUUGUCUUAAAGCAGCUUUCCAGAAGCAUAUAAACACAGGACACAGAUUUUAAGCGUGUGAAUUUAUCCCUACUGAGCAAGCCGGUGGCAACUCUGGCAAGGAAAAACUCCCUAAGAUGAUAUGAGGAAGAAACCUUGAGAAGGCCCAGACUCUGAAGGGAACCCAUCCUCAUCUUGGUAACACCGGAAAGUGUGAAAGUAAAAGAAAGUUCAUUAUGGUUUUUAUAUGAAGUCUGUUUGUUGAACUAGUCCACUGUUCUCUACAGGAGACUUGAGUGCAAAAUUGUAUGUGGUAAUUGCAAUCCUAAGGCCAUCACAGCAACCUUAGUCCCAGCAACCACAGCAAGAAUGUCCAUGUGGAAUUGAAGUCCAAAACCAUUUCUAUUUAUCAAAUCUCUUCACUGCAGUCAAAUACAGCAGUUUUAUCUCUGUAAUGCAAUACCCUAUUGCUUGAUCAAAUUAUUUGUUAGGUGAUAAGGCUAAUGCUAUAUUUCAUAUACAAUAUAUUAUAUAGAUAAACAAUAUAUCAACUUGAUAGCCUAUCCGAGUGAUUCAGAGAAAUUUGACUGAAUAACAUAAAAAUAGACAUAACAUACUUAUGUAAGGUUUUAAGGCUGAAAUUAAAUGGUUGUACUGGCCAUGAAAAACAAAAAGUAUUAAACAAAUUGGUCAAAGAAAACAGCCCUGCAUAUGCUCAUUCCAAGUAGAAUCUACUGCUCAUUGUGAGAUCUGCAGAAAAAAUCAUUGGCUGCCAGCAUCCCCCAACUUACAGACCUGCACUCAACUAGAAUGAGGUAAAAAAAAUGGGGAAACUCAUUACCCAUUCUUCCUUCUCUCUUCUAGCAGUUCUCCUUUCAGAUAGAGAUUGAGAUUAACCAAGACCUGCACACUUUUCCGAAAGCAAUGGCAGUGUUAGCUCAGGGCUUAAAGCUUUGGGUUGCUAAGUGGAAAGUUGUGAGCUUAAAUCUCAGCACCACCAAGCUGCCACUGUUGGGCCCUUGAGCAAGGCCCUUAGCCGUCAACUGCUCAGUUAUGUACUGUCUUAGUUGCAAGUUGCUUUGGAUAAACAUCAGCAAAAUUAGGUAAAUAUUGUAUAUAAAUAAUUAACUCUAAUGUAUGUCAAUAAUAAAUGUAAAUAAUCCUUUUGAACAAGGACCCUUAACACAUCACACCUCUAUAAUCUGUCUGACAUCUGACAGUUAACACUUAUCAAUAACAGCCCAUUGCACUGUAAUUAUAUGUAAUCCCUGAUGUUUACUAUGAAUUAUUGUUUUGUUUAUUGUAAAUUACUGUAUAUUAUGUACAUUAUUGAAUAUAGUGUACAUUGUGUUCUUUCUUGUUCACUCCAGCACCGGUCCUUCCUUGCUUCCCCUCAGCACCAUGGACAGUACCACUAAUCUCCAAUCUGGAUCUGGGUCCUAAAGAUCCAGUCCAGUGCGCUUUAUUUCAUUUUUGUCAUGCUCCCAGGUUCUAACAUCUGUCAAGGCUGACCUGACCUAAUCACCAGUGAUGGGUGUACUUUUUGUUACUUUUUACACCUUAAAAAUUCAACCUACAAAAUGAGCCAAUUCAUUAAUUCAUAAUUUGUGUCCUAAACAAAACUUAAUGGUAGAAGGUCUUUGCCUGUUCUAACAUGCUCUUGUUGUCACUCUCACAAGUGAAGAAGCACUGUAUUUCUGGACUUAAAAGCUAAGCAUUGCAAUCAGUAUUAUUUUAAUAAAGCCUCAUGUAAAACAUGUUAAACUUUGCAAACACUAAACUUAUUUCAUUGGAUUAAUAAACAUAUUUUUAACCACAAAGUGGUAACACAUAUCAGCCAUGGGCCAAUCACAGUGACUUCUAGCAUGAUGCCUGCAAACUGAAUGCACAGACCAUAUAUACUCAGUAAAAAAUGAAACAUUCCUUUUUCAGGAGACUAAAAUCCAAUGAAUCCAGUAAAAUCCAAAUAAGCUUUACAGAUCUUUAUUGGAAAGGGUUUAAACAAUGUUCUUCAUGCUUGUCCAGUGAACCAUAAACAAUUGUUCCACAUGCACCUGUGUAAUAGUCCUUCAGACAGUUUACAGAUGGUAGGCAAUUAAGGUCACAGUUACAAUUACUUAGGACACUAAAGGGACCUUUCUACUGUCUCUGAAAAACAAUAGAAGAAAGAUGCUUAGGGUGCCUGUUCACCUGCAUGAACAUGCCAUAGGCCUGCUGCAGGGAAACAUAAGGACUGCACAUGUGGCCAGAGCAAUAAACUGCAAUGUCUGUAAUGUAAGAUGCCUAAGACAGUGUUACAGAGAAACAGGAAGGACAGCUGAUUGUCCUUGCAGUGGCAAACCACGUGUAACCAUGUCCCCCCAGACGUGAUUGAGAACUUGCAAAUGCCUUCGUGGAAGAGUGGGGUAACAUCUCACAGCAAGAACUGACAAAUCUGGUGCAGUCCAUGAGGAUGAGAUGCCCUGUAAUACAAAGCAGCUGGUGGCCACCAGAUACUGAACGUUACUUUUAAUAUCGACCCCCAUUUGUUCAGAGACUCAUUAAUCCAUUUCUGUUCGUCAAAUGUCUGUUAAACUUGUUCAGUUUAUGUCUCAGUUGUUGAAUGUUUUUAUGUUAAUGCAAAUAUUUACACAUGUUAAGAAAUUUGCUGGAAAUAAAAGCAGCUGA